Long non-coding RNA from Carassius auratus (goldfish), 1276 nucleotides. RefSeq lists it as uncharacterized. Lineage: Eukaryota; Metazoa; Chordata; Actinopteri; Cypriniformes; Cyprinidae. The transcript is spliced from 8 exons. The record is from RefSeq and is a predicted model, not a curated record.
AUGGAAAAUCUGACCAACUAGCUGCAACCUGACUCAUCUUUAAGGCAUCAACGGUCAGACUGACCCUCCCUGGGAAAUGAAAUCAAAGCCAAUCUCAUCAACAGAGCACAUACUCGGCUGAUUGGGCAAGGUGGUGCUAACUUGAAUAGUGUAAUUGCCCAUUCAAACUGCUAUUUUAAGACCAAACUGAAGAUCAGCUGGUAACAUCAGCAGUGGACUGACCAUGCAAGAGUUAAUCCUACUAAUGACUAAAGACCCACACGGUAGCAUCAGCAGUGGACUGAAGGUGUGAGUGUUAAUCCUACUAAUGAAACAAACCUCUUUACCCCAGCAUGAGAAGGCCAUGCUAGAUGAAACCAAUCUCUUCUUUCUCACUCUCUGCGACAAAAGAUGGAUGUACCAGCAGACAAAACAGCAGCUCACUUGUCAAUUUAUGGACUCCAGCUGAAAAAGUCAAGGAAAGUGGGAACCUUGACUGCUGUGUUGCCACAAGAGGAACAGGAGCCAAAGCUCAGCAUGGUGUGAGAAGGUUGCCCUCAGGCAAGCGUGAGACUGGCCUUGGUAAUUGGCACCGGUGAAUGAGAGGGUCCUGGCACGACUCUGAAAACCAGAGGGAGGAUCCCACAGUAGUCUCAUUUUGUUUCUCUCCCCUGGGCACUGGAAAAGUCUUGCUGUAUGCACUUCGCUCAGCUUCAGGCAGAGGUGUUAAUAGAGCCUCUUGUGGAUCAGCGUCUCUCCAGUCUACACUAUCAUUAGCCCUGGGGUGGGCCAGAGGGAAAGAGAGGGACUGUGGCACAUCUCUUGUCAUUUACCCUGUUUUUUUUUGUUGUUUUUUUAUCUCUCUCUCUCACUCGUGUGUUCUCUGUUUAUGAGUCAUUAUUCCCCAUCCACAGACACAUAGCUGGAGUGACAGUUGCUGUAUGGGCAUGUACAGCAUAUGUUCAAUAAAAUAUUUUCACCCAACAUAUCAUUCUUCAAUUGGUGUUCACUCAAGCCAUCUGCUUUCUCUUACUUCUCACUUUCCUGUUUUAUCUGCAUCCUACUAUUGAAUUCAUUCCACUCUUCCAUUAUUCAUAUUUGAAAUGCCUUUGGUAGACUUUACUUUGUUAUUCCUACUGGCAUGUUUAUUAAUGGGAUAUUAUGGGAUGAAUUUAGACCAUGUGUAGAAAAUUUAUGGAAGAAUUACAACAUUUUUAAUGUAUACUCAGGAAUAAUGUUGACAAGACGUUGUGUAGAUUUCAGUCUUUUACUAUUUAAGAGCAGUGAUUUUUCCUUU